This 1188-nucleotide ribosomal RNA is filed under the name uncultured Halobacteroides sp. RNAcentral describes it as "bacterial SSU rRNA". It matches the Rfam family "Bacterial small subunit ribosomal RNA", at positions 30 to 1221 of the family's 1533-position model. Lineage: Bacteria; Bacillati; Bacillota; Clostridia; Halanaerobiales; Halobacteroidaceae. The record is from RNAcentral.
CGAACGCUGGCGGCGUGCUUAACACAUGCAAGUUGCGCGAGAAAGCUACCUUCGGGUAGUGAGUAAAGCGGCGAACGGGUGAGUAACGCGUGGGUUACCUACCUCUAAGUUAGGGAUAACUUCUCGAAAGGGAAGCUAAUACCUAAUAUUCUAAAGAUGGCUCUGCUAUCGCUUAGGGAUGGGCCCGCGUCCCAUUAGCUUGUUGGUAGUGUAAGAGACUACCAAAGCAACAAUGGGUAGCCGACCUGAGAGGGUGAUCGGCCACACUGGGACUGAGACACGGCCCAGACUCCUACGGGAGGCUGCAGUGGGGAAUCUUCCGCAAUGAGCGAAAGCUUGACGGAGCAACGCCGCGUGAGUGAUGAAGGCCUUCGGGUCGUAAAGCUCUGUCCUAAGGGAAGAACACCUCAGUAGAUAACAUCUGCUGGGAUUGACGGUACCUUUGGAGGAAGCCUCGGCUAAUUACGUGCCAGCAGCCGCGGUAAUACGUAAGAGGCAAGCGUUGUCCGGAAUCACUGGGCGUGAAGGGUGCGCAGGCGGUCUAGUAAGUCAAGAGUGAAAUCCAUCGGCUCAACCGGUGAACUGCUUUUGAAACUACUAGACUUGAGAAUAGGAGAAGAGAGUGGAAUUCCUGGUGUAGUGGUGAAAUACGUAGAUAUCAGGAAGAAUACCAAUGGCGAAAGCAGCUCUCUAGCCUAAUUCUGACGCUGAGGUACGAAAGCUAGGGUAUCAAACGGGAUUAGAUACCCCGGUAGUCCUAGCUGUAAACGCUGGAUACUAGGUGUUGGGGGUUCAACUCCCUCAGUGCUGCAGUUAACGCGUUAAGUAUCCCGCCUGGGGAUUACGACCGCAAGGUUGAAACUCAAAGGAAUUGACGGGGGCCCGCACAAGCGGCGGAGCAUGUGGUUUAAUUCGAAGCAACGCGCAGAACAUUACCAGGGUUUGACAUCCUAUGACCAUCUGUGAAAGCAGAGUUUGGCUCUUUGAGUCACAUAGUGACAGGUGGUGCAUGGCUGUCGUCAGCUCGUGUCGUGAGAUGUUGGGUUAAGUCCCGCAACGAGCGUAACCCCUGUUCUUAGUUGCCAGCACGUAAUGGUGGGGACUCUAAGGAGACUGCCAUAGAAAAAAUUGGGAGGAAGGUGGGGAUGACUUCAAGUCAUCAUGCCCCUUAUACUCUGGGCUACACAC